AUGAGUACAACACAUUCAAGAAGCUCAAGUAGCGCGAGACUGGAGGGGGUUGGGACUUUGAGAAAAACACUGUUAAACAAGAUAAUGAGUGGUGGAAAAAGGCGAGAGUUGACCUUCCAGGUUGUGGCAAGUUCAAGAAGCAUGGACUCCGUAACGAAGAAGGCUUGCGCGUCUUGUUUGAGGAUAUCAGUGUUGAUGGCACUGACCAUUGGAACCCCGCAUCUGGUCUGCCUCCCCCCUCUAGUUCGGCAUUGA
RNAcentral lists this ribosomal RNA (255 nucleotides) under Triticum aestivum (bread wheat). Its description in RNAcentral is "partial small subunit ribosomal RNA". Lineage: Eukaryota; Viridiplantae; Streptophyta; Magnoliopsida; Poales; Poaceae. The record is from RNAcentral.